AUUUGCUGCGAGGACUUUGAUUUGACUGAUUCGAGCUUCUGCCCAUGUUCUUGUGGAUUCCGCCUCUGCCUAUUUUGUCACAAGAGGAUUCUCGAGGAGGAUGGGCGGUGCCCUGGGUGCAGGAAACAGUAUGAUCACAUACCGAGUGGGUCGAUUGAUGUUAAUGCAGCAGUGCCUAUAUUACCGAUGCAAUUGCUCCGAUCCUGUAGCAUGAAUGCUAGAUACUAAAACUUGAGGGAUAUGAUUUAGUAUCGUAGUUGUUCUUGUUGGGCUGUUGUGUGGGAUGUGUACUAUCAGUAUACUAGAACUACAAAAGUUUCUGGUUUUAGGAAAGAAAAAGAGACUGAAUAUAUGCAUAGGGUUUGAAGCUCUAUGGAGUGGUCUAUUAGUAACUUGUGUGUGCUAGUAGGUGCUCUCCUACAUGAUAUGUGGUGCAUAUGUUUGCAGAAUGGAUAUUUUCUUGUUAAUAGUAUGGAGUUUAUAAAAUUUAGCUAUACAAUAUUAGUGCGAUAUCUGCUUUCCCUUCCUCGCCUUAAGUGGAGUUUCUACUCUUUUUUUUUUUUUUUCUUUGUCAAGAUGAUCUACCAAUUUGUAGUCGGCAAACUUUUUUAAGUAUAUUUAUGGCUCUAUUAUCAUUUGAAGUCCAUUAUAUUGUUAAUUCACAUUGUUAACUCCUAUUGCCUCUCUGAUUAUGAAGUGUUUUAUAUUUUCCUUUGUUCCUUUCUUUUAGUCUUUUGUCUUUGUGUGAAGUUGCUCAGGUGGCAAUUGUAACAACCCUGAAGAAUAAAUGGUAGAAGUAGUAGUAGCAUUAGUAGUUAGAUGUAGAAGAGGAGUAAAGGUAGCAGUUUUACUAGCUAGAAGAAGAAUAAGUGGCAGCAGCAGGUGGAGAGGAGGAGGUGCGGCAGGUGGGCCGACGAGAAGCGUCUUCGAAGGGCUCAGGCGAGCUUGACGGAACAGUCGGGCGAGAGGUGGUCCGGGCGGAGCUCUGGUGGGGACGACGGAGCUAGGGCAUCCUCAAAGCUCGGAGAGGGCGCUGGGAUGUCCGAUGGAGUCCAUGGAGUUGGGGCGAAGAAGAGGACUGGCGGAUCGAAGCUUCAGGAUCUCGGAGCGGAGGCAAAACGCGAACCCAGUACCCGCAGGGUCGCGGAUGAUGCGGAGAAGAAGGAGUCCGACGCCGAUUGCCCGUUUAUAGGCGGAUCGGGCGGGCCGAACCUCGGAUCGGGUGCAAUUAGCGAACCCAAGGCCCGCCGGGUAGCGGAUGAUGCGGAUAAGGUCGAGCCCGAUAUCCAAUCACCCGAUUACAUGAUGCUCAUGGACUUGUCAAGCCAACGGAGGCCCCAUUACCACAGAAUUAGCAGCCCAUCAGGCCCAUAUCUCAUAUUAGCACUUUUGCUGUUUAGGCCUCAGAUAGUAGUUAAUUUUCCUUUCAGUUCAAGUCACCAAGUAGUAUAAAUAUCAAAGUGUAAUGUGAACAGGGAUCUAUCGAUGAAAUGAAAUAUUGCUUAUCUUCUUCCCCAAUCCUUCUCGAAACCCUUCUUUGCUUCUAAGCUCCCUAAUUCUCCUCUCUCUUCUCUACUUCUAAUCCCUACCCUCAUCUCUCUGUAUCUCUCUCUGUCUCUCCCUCAUUCCCAUCAUCUCCCAAUUCACGCUCCUCAAUCCGAGGUCUCAUCGGAUCGCGAUUGGGAUCAGGUUGGUCACGCCAUCAUCCCGGUUAGCC
This 1717-nucleotide long non-coding RNA is filed under the name Ananas comosus (pineapple). RNAcentral describes it as "long non-coding RNA (ACOM_LNC011041)". The record is from RNAcentral. Lineage: Eukaryota; Viridiplantae; Streptophyta; Magnoliopsida; Poales; Bromeliaceae.